This is a long non-coding RNA of Vitis vinifera (wine grape), 1598 nucleotides long. RefSeq lists it as uncharacterized. NCBI's taxonomy places the organism in Eukaryota, Viridiplantae, Streptophyta, Magnoliopsida, Vitales, Vitaceae. The transcript has 2 exons. The record is from RefSeq and is a predicted model, not a curated record.
CUCCCUUCUCUAUAAACAAGUCAUCUAAACAUCCUUCCUUUUCCUUGGCUUUUUCUUCUCAUGAGAUUCUAACAACUGGCUAGGCCGCCAUGCAUGCUCUCCAUCCAUCAUUUUCAAAGACAUUUCUAAGCUUGUUUGUCUCUUUAUUUAAGUUAAGAAAGGACAGCUCCAUCAGCGGACCUUAACAGCUUGUUUGUUUCUUUAGGUGAUAGUUUCCAUGAAUCUCCCACAACCUGCAACUUACAAGAAGUGGAGAUGAAAGAGAGGUGCAGUACUCACUUGACUAAGCUUCCUGAAUGUGUUUCAUAGAUAUAGGGGUCCUACACUCCAUUUUCUACAAACAAAUCAUCUAAACAUCCUUCCUCUUCCUUGGCCUUUUCCUCUCAUGAGAUUCUUACAACUGGCUAGGCCACCAUGCAUGCUCUCCAUCCAUCAUUUUCAAAGACAUUUCUAAGCUUGUUUGUCUCUUAAUUUAAGUCAAGAAAGGACAACUCCUUCAGCGGACCUUAACAGGUUGUUUGUUUCUUUAGGUGAUAGUUUCCGUGAAUCUCCCACAACCUGCAACUCACAAGAAGUGGAGAUGAAAGAGAGGUGCAAUACUCACUUGACUAAGAUUCCUGAAUGUGUUUCAUAGAUAUAGGGGUCCUACACUCCCUUCUCUAUAAACAAGUCAUCUAAACAUCCUUCCUUUUCCUUGGCUUUUUCUUCUCAUGAGAUUCUAACAACUGGCUAGGCCGCCAUGCAUGCUCUCCAUCCAUCAUUUUCAAAGACAUUUCUAAGCUUGUUUGUCUCUUUAUUUAAGUUAAGAAAGGACAGCUCCAUCAGCGGACCUUAACAGCUUGUUUGUUUCUUUAGGUGAUAGUUUCCAUGAAUCUCCCACAACCUGCAACUUACAAGAAGUGGAGAUGAAAGAGAGGUGCAGUACUCACUUGACUAAGCUUCCUGAAUGUGUUUCAUAGAUAUAGGGGUCCUAGACUCCAUUUUCUACAAACAAAUCAUCUAAACAUCCUUCCUCUUCCUUGGCCUUUUCCUCUCAUGAGAUUCUUACAACAAAGUGCUAUAUAUCAUCGUCCUCUAUAGUUGCAAUUGGCAUGGUGAAAAUGGCUUUCCUUAAGAGCUCUCAAGUCAUGUUGAUGGCCCUUUUCGUAGGAAUCAUCCUUCUCAUGUCCUCUGAGGUCGCUACUGCAAUAACACAACUCAAAUUUGGACGAAGGGUUCUAGGCGUACCAAAUGACGACUACCAUGAUCAUUCAGUUAGCUAUGGCCCAGGAAGGGCAGGAUACCUAUACCCUCCUCCAUAACCAUAGUUAUGUAGAAAGUCAAAUAAAAUUUGCUACCUGAAUAAGAGAUUAGCUAAGAUGCUAUCUGAUGAUGUCUACAGAUAAUUAAGGGUGAUUGUGAGUUAUGCUUAUGCUUGAUGCUUGAAUCAUGGGGUCAGAAUAUAUUUAGUAUUGUGAAGCAAUAUGUAAGACGGAAUUAUCAACAAAAUAAUACAUCUGGAUGGUGUUAGCAUUGGGAUGUAUAAGAUUGAUGUGUAUCUUAAAAGAGAUGUAUUUCAAUUCUGGCUUUAUACAUUAAUCUCCUUGUGUUGGAUGUCA